RNAcentral lists this long non-coding RNA (276 nucleotides) under Vigna radiata. RNAcentral describes it as "long non-coding RNA (VRAD_LNC008143)". The record is from RNAcentral. Lineage: Eukaryota; Viridiplantae; Streptophyta; Magnoliopsida; Fabales; Fabaceae.
ACAAUCAAAAGAUCUGGACAAUGUAAUAAAGUGGAGAGGAAAACGAAAACUCCCUAAGUCAGGGUGGAAAAGAAGCGGGAUCGAGCAGAGACGUCUCCUUCACAACUGUAUCCAAAAGGGAAGGAUUGUUGAGAAAGGCUUCCGCCUGUGCCCAUUGACCUUAGAAGCUUUUAUUUGUGGAUUGACUUUUGAUCUCAACUGCACCAUAAAGAUAAACAUUAGUACCAACAAAAGGUCCAAUCACUUUGACCGUAACUUACCCCCCAUGAGUCUGAG